UCGUGAGACAGUUCGGUCCCUAUCCGUCGCAGGCGUAGGAUAUUUGAGAGGAGCUAUCCUUAGUACGAGAGGACCGGGAUGGACGCACCACUGGUGUACCAGUUGUCUUGCCAAAGGCACAGCUGGGUAGCUAUGUGCGGAACGGAUAAGUGCUGAAGGCAUCUAAGCACGAAGCCAACCUCAAGAUAAGAUAUCCCAUUCGAAAGAAGUAAGACCCCAUUAAGAGUAAGUGGUAGAUAGGCAAGGAGUGUAAGUGCAGUAAUGUAUUAAGCUAACUUGUACUAAUAGGUCGAGGACUUAACCUA
RNAcentral lists this non-coding RNA (305 nucleotides) under Peptoanaerobacter stomatis. Its description in RNAcentral is "Eubacteriaceae bacterium ACC19a Bacterial large subunit ribosomal RNA". It matches the Rfam family "Bacterial large subunit ribosomal RNA", at positions 2619 to 2925 of the family's 2925-position model. Lineage: Bacteria; Bacillati; Bacillota; Clostridia; Peptostreptococcales; Filifactoraceae. The record is from Rfam by way of RNAcentral.